RNAcentral lists this unclassified non-coding RNA (382 nucleotides) under uncultured Rhodospirillales bacterium. RNAcentral describes it as "contains 16S-23S intergenic spacer region". Lineage: Bacteria; Pseudomonadati; Pseudomonadota; Alphaproteobacteria; Rhodospirillales. The record is from RNAcentral.
UCCGGCUUGUCACCGGCGGUUUCUUCAGAGUGCCCGGCCUGACCCGUGGGCAACUGAAGAUGAGGGUUGCGCUCGUUGCGGGACUUAACCCAACAUCUCACGACACGAGCUGACGACAGCCAUGCAGCACCUGUGUUCCACCCACCCGAAGUGAAGGAUCUGAUCUCUCAAACCCAUAGUGGACAUGUCAAGGACUGGUAAGGUUCUUCGCGUUGCGUCGAAUUGAACCACAUACUCCACCGCUUGUGCGGGCCCCCGUCAAUUCAUUUGAGUUUCAACCUUGCGGCCGUACUCCCCAGGCGGCAUGCUUAGUGCGUUAGCUGCGACACAAGAGGGCUAAGCCCUCCAACGUCUAGCAUGCAUCGUUUACAGCGUGGACUAC